AUGAGAGUAGAGGACAAAAAAAGAUCCCUAACAGUUGCCCCCUUCAAGUGUGCUUGGGGCGAGGAGUUCCGGUUUGUGGAGGCUGGGCGUGGGUGCAUUGCGUUCGAGGCAUCUGCCCAGAAUGAUGUUACCCUGGUGUUCCGUGAACAGCCUGGGAGCCAGCACUACCACUACAAAAUGGACAGCAGUCGUCAUUACGCUGUCAUCUUGGGUAGCCAUAGGAACAAAAGGUUGAAGAUUGAAGUGGACGGAAGGACUGUUGUCGAUGAAGCUGGAGUCGGCCUAUGCCGCUCAUCAUCUUUCCAGAGCUAUUGGAUCAGCAUCUAUGAUGGAUUGAUAAGCAUUGGACAAGGAAGGCAUCCAAACAACAAUGUCCUCUUCCAGUGGCUCGACCCUGAUCCCAACCGGAAUGUUCAGUAUGUCGGAUUAUCCAGCUGGGACAAGCACGUGGGCUACCGAAAUAUAAGUGUUCUUCCAUCAGCUCCUCAAAACAGCAUCCGUUGGAGUCAAAUUGAGUAUGCAUAUGCUGAGCGGCACGGGGAAGGAGAUCAUGCUAAAAAUGAAGAAUCAAAAGAUGGCUGUGAGCAAAGGGUGAUUGCAGACUUUCUUGAGAGCUGGGAUUUCUCCGAUGCUAUGUUUGUUAUUGGUAGUGAAAGAAAGGUUGUCCCUGCGCACAAAAUUGUCUUGGCUGCUUCUGGAGAGUUUGAUUUUAUCUCAAUGAGUGGAACUGCCAUCGAGCUUCCGUCAUUCUCCUACCCAGUUCUCCACUCGCUUCUUGAGUAUAUCUAUACUGGGUCUACUCAGAUUGCAGAGUGGCAACUGGAUUCACUGCUGGAGUUGAGCUUACAAUUUAAAGUUAAACCUUUGGUAAAGCGUUGUGAGGAAAUGCUCGACUGUUUUACUAAGAUGGAUAAUGAUCUCUCUGAGUCUAGUAGAAAGUUAGAAGUAUCAAGUAGUGGAUCUAAAGCCCAUCAAGUUGAUUAUUUCCCUUUCAAGGCUCCAGUGAGUGUGCAGAAAAUCAAACAAUUCCUUGCAAGUGGUGAGCAUAGUGAUAUAAACAUCUUUGUUAGUGGACAAGGUUUUGUUGCCAAGGCUCACAAACUCGUCCUUAGCUUGUGGAGCAUGCCAUUCGCCAAGAUGUUCACAAAUGGAAUGAAAGAAAGCAGCGCUCCAAAUGUAUUUUUCGAAGAUGCUUCUGCUGAAGCAUUUUCUCUCCUCCUUCAGUUUAUGUACAGUGGGGAACUUAAAGUGGAUAACCGGUAUAUCACACCUGCAUUGGUUCAGCUCCUCUUAUUAUCAGAUCAGUUUGGCAUCACUGUUCUUCAGUUUGAAUGCUGUAAAAGAAUUAUGGAAUUCCUUUCAGAGGACACAGUAUGUUCAGUAUUACAAGCAGUGUCAUCAAUACCAUCUUGUAAACUGCUUGAAGAAAUGUGCAAACAGAAUUUUGCAACACACUUUGAUUAUUGCACAACUGCUUGCACGGACUUUGUGCUGUUAGAUGAGGCAACAUUUAAGGAUAUUCUUCAGCAAGGUGAUAUGACUGUGACAUCGGAAGAGAAGGUUCUGGAUGCCAUCUUAACAUGGUGUAUGGAGGCUUGUGAAACUUUUUACUGGAGUUCUGUAGAUAAGCUAUUAAGCACUUCAACACCAGAGCAGCUCUUUGGAGAGAGGCUCACCGCCAUCAAUACUUUACUACCAUUUGUGCGGUUCCCUCUAAUGCCGCCGUCUCUCCUUCAGCGGAUGGAGAAAAGUAACCUAGCAAAGCACAUACAACUGUUCAGACAGUUGGUUGCAGAAGCCAUUGAGUUCUCUAAUGCUGGUGCUUGGAUGAUGAUGACAAACAAAUGUGAGAGAUUUCUACAUAGACGCUCAAGCUAUAGAGAGCUUCAGUAUAUUUCUGAUGGUGAUAACAAUGGUGUGAUCUACUAUGCUGGGACGUCAUUCGGGAAGCAUCAAUGGAUCAAUCCUGUUUUAGCCAAGAAUAUCACUGUGACGGCAAGCAGCCCAAAUUCGAGGUACACGGAUCCAAAGGCUCUGGUUUCAAAAAGUUACCAGGGGACUUGUUUUGCUGGGCCUCGAGACGAAGAUGGCAAGAAGUGUUCUUGGUGGAUGGUAGACAUUGGACAGGACCACCAGCUUAUGUGCAACUACUACACGGUAAGGCAGGAUGGCUCUACGGCAUUUAUGAGGUCUUGGGUUCUUCAGGGAUCCAUGGAUGGUGAGAACUGGACAAGCCUCAUUGUUAACGAGGACGAGCGGGCCAUCUGCCAGCCAGGGCAGUUUGCGUCGUGGCCGAUCACAGGCCCGGCGGCGCUGCUGCCAUUCCGGUUCUUCCGGCUUGCUCUGACGGGGCCGACGACCAGUAACACCUGGAACCUCUGCAUCUGCUUCCUGGAGCUCUACGGCUACUUCCGCUAG
This 2418-nucleotide ribosomal RNA is filed under the name Triticum aestivum (bread wheat). RNAcentral describes it as "partial small subunit ribosomal RNA". Lineage: Eukaryota; Viridiplantae; Streptophyta; Magnoliopsida; Poales; Poaceae. The record is from RNAcentral.